GCUUGUGUUUACGCUAGGUCCAGGUUUCUCCAAAGCUGUCCUCUGCCUGCCCCGUGUGAGUGCGCCUCAGUCCGCUGGGGCAGUCCAGUGUGUAGAAGGCCAAUGCCCACUGGGAGCUCUACUGCCUAGAAUACGGGAUCCAACCGGAUGGACAGAUGCUCAGUGACAACCCAUCAGUGGAGGGGACGGUUCCUGAUUCCUGACCUUCAUAUUUUUAGUGAAAGUGAGGCUUUCUAUGUGCCCGGUGCAGUGUUUGUGGGCCUGGAGACCACUGUGACUGGUAUCUUAAGGGUUUCUAUUCCUGGGAAGAAGCACCAUGACCAAAAAGCAAGCUGGAGAGGAAAGGGUUUAUUUGGCUUACACUUCCACAUUGUGAUCCAUCAUCAAAGGAAGCCAAGACAGGAACCCCAACGGAAACCUGGAGAACCCUGGACUUCCAAGGGGUGGCCCUACCCACAAUGGGCUGGCCUCUCCCCCAUGAAUCACUAAGAAAAAUGCUCUACAGGAUUGCCUGCAGCCUGGUUUUAUGGAGACUUUAUUCCAUUUGAGGCUCCCUCCUCUCUGAUGACUCGAGCUUCUGUUAAGUUGACAGGGACUUAGCCGGCACACCAGGUGACUCUAGGUUGCGUCAAGUUAACAUUUAUAACCAACCAGCACUCUGGACAAGCUACAGUGGCUUGUCAGCAUCCCCGGGAUACCUUAUAUUAUCUUGUUGAAACCUAAAAUGCAUGUAGUCAUUAUAGCUACAGCAGGCUCCAUGGAGAGGAGGUCUGCUGCUCAGCACUCUAAUAUUGGUGCCCCCAAAUGUUGCCUGCUGCAUUAGUCAGGUGACAUUUUAAUUGUUAAGGAAGUGUUACAUGGAUGCCUGUUUUGUAGUUGUGGAAAUGAGGCCUCAAGCGGCGCUGGGUCUUGCCCAAGGUUACCUCGCUAGGAAACAGAGGGAGCAGGGUUCAAACCCAGGCAAGUCUGAGCUGCCUGGUGCUCUGGUUGGUGCUCUGUCUGCUUCAGAUCACUGCUUCUCUUGUCCACAGUGGAGCCAGACUCCACCUCUUUCAGGCCUGUCAGGUGCCCAAUGCCUAGACAGUGACUCAGGCACCUUGGGGGCAGGGAGGGGGUAACGUCUGCCAACUCCUCUGUCCUGACUCUGGGAUUGAGGGCAUCAAGGCACCAGAUGAGACAGGGCCUGAGCCAGGACAGAGGCUUCUUUGCGGACAAUCUUUGGGCCGCCGCUGCCCUUGGGAAGAGUCUCCUGUCUUAACGGAGGUGUGGUAAGAGCCCAGGCCUGGCCUAAUCCUCCAUCAGGAGGAUUAAGAAGAAAGUCAGUCACCUGCCAAUUCGGCUGAGUUUCCAGACAGACAGGCACAGUGCUCCGUUCUGCUUGGCACUAGCCAGCCCAACCUGGUUGUCUCUGUGGCUAUCUCCUUUCAGUUAUGCAUCCUAGCUAGUCCACACAUCCCCGUGCUCCCACUGGCAUGCACCGACAGGCCUGGGUUGGAUGGGGUGUAAGUGUGGGAAGGGACCAACCCAGCUCCCUUGGGGCAGCCAAGAGCACCACCCAGCCUGGCUCCUGAGGACUCCCUCAACGCAAGGAAAUGCUUUCAUCCUUCACACUUCUAAAGCCAGGGAGCAAUUACCUCCUGCAGGUAGGCUCAGGAGCCAGGUGCCCAGCCUUGGGCCUUGCCUCUGCUGUGUCAGGAAUCUGUCUUUGUCUCCAAAGGUGUAUUUCUCGUCCAUCUCCUUCUGAAGCCCCACCUCCCUCCUCUGGGGGUGGCUGUUGCCACGCCUUCCGGCUUAGGUCACAGACAUCCAGAACCUUCUAGAACCUCCACGCGUUCCUUUCACUGGCUUUCCCUGGGUCCUAUCUUCCAUCUGUCCCUGUGUUCAUUGGCCCUUGGAGUGAGCUGCUUUGCCCAGUAGCCCACGUCUGUGAUUUUAUGACUUUACAUAUGGAGUUCCUUGGCAUUGCCCUAAUCCCCCAACUAGGUUUUAACUUUUCGUGUGUAUUGGAAUACUUAAUGUGCGCAUGCUUCAGGAUUCAAAAGGUACCAACAGCGUUUUGUGAAAUGCAAUAAUAAAUCUUUAUCUGAUUCUCUUGGC
This is a long non-coding RNA of Apodemus sylvaticus (European woodmouse), 2097 nucleotides long. RefSeq lists it as uncharacterized. Lineage: Eukaryota; Metazoa; Chordata; Mammalia; Rodentia; Muridae. The transcript has 3 exons. The record is from RefSeq and is a predicted model, not a curated record.